GACGAACGCUGGCGGCGUGCUUAACACAUGCAAGUCGAACGGAAAGGCCCUGCUUUUGUGGGGUGCUCGAGUGGCGAACGGUUGCGUAACACGUGAGUAACCUGCCCUUGACUUUGGGAUAACUUCAGGAAACUGGGGCUAAUACCGGAUAGGAGCUCCUGCUGCUUGGUGUGGGUUGGAAAGUUUCGGCGGUUGGGGAUGGACUCGCGGCUUAUCAGCUUGUUGGUGGGGUAGUGGCUUACCAAGGCGUUGACGGGUAGCCGGCCUGAGAGGGUGACCGGCCACAGUGGGACUGAGAUACGGCCCAGACUCCUACGGGGGGCAGCGGUGGAGAAUAUUGCGCAAUAGGCGGAAGCCUGAUGCAGCAACGCCGCGUGCGGGAUGACGGCCGUCGGGGUGUAAACCGCUUUCGCGUGUAACGAAGCGUGAGUGACGGUAAUUGAUAAGAAAGCACCGGCUAACUACGUG
This 468-nucleotide ribosomal RNA is filed under the name uncultured bacterium. Its description in RNAcentral is "partial 16S ribosomal RNA". It matches the Rfam family "Bacterial small subunit ribosomal RNA", at positions 28 to 507 of the family's 1533-position model. The record is from RNAcentral.